RNAcentral lists this ribosomal RNA (426 nucleotides) under uncultured bacterium. Its description in RNAcentral is "partial 16S ribosomal RNA". It matches the Rfam family "Bacterial small subunit ribosomal RNA", at positions 354 to 796 of the family's 1533-position model. The record is from RNAcentral.
GUGAGGAAUUUUCCGCAAUGGGCGAAAGCCUGACGGAGCAAUGCCGCGUGAAGGAUGAAGGCCUAUGGGUUGUAAACUUCUUUUCUCAGAAAAGAAUUAUGACGGUAUCUGAGGAAUAAGCAUCGGCUAACUCUGUGCCAGCAGCCGCGGUAAGACAGAGGAUGCAAGCGUUAUCCGGAAUGAUUGGGCGUAAAGCGUCUGUAGGUUGUUUAAAAAGUAUUCUGUCAAAGAUUAGGGCUUAACCCUAGAUAGGCAGAAUAAACUUUUAAGCUAGAGUUUGGUGGAAGCAGAGGGAAUUCCCGGUGGAGCGGUGAAAUGCGUAGAUAUCGGGAGGAGCACCAAAGGCGAAGGCACUCUGCUGGGCCAAUACUAACACUGAGAGACGAAAGCGAGGGGAGCAAAUGGGAUUAGAUACCCGAGUAGUCC